Molecule: long non-coding RNA, 256 nt
Organism: Ruditapes philippinarum (Manila clam)
Lineage: Eukaryota; Metazoa; Mollusca; Bivalvia; Venerida; Veneridae
Exons: 3
Source: RefSeq, a predicted model, not a curated record
GUCACGUGGAUAGAAAUUCAAAUUCGUAGGCGUUACGUUUUGGCUGUCGGUCUGGAAUCGGGAUGCAUUGAUAAGUGAAUAUUAUAGAUUUUCUUGAACAAAAAGGUAGUUAAAGUGUUGGACAUGCUCUCAAAGGUCGGAGGGACGGAAACACGUGAAUAUGUAAAAAGAAACAUAUGAAAUGAAAAUGAUGUCACACACGCUAUUGGGCGCUACAAACGCUACAUAUCCUCCGGACAGACGAGGUGUGCUGAAA